RNAcentral lists this ribosomal RNA (497 nucleotides) under uncultured bacterium. RNAcentral describes it as "partial 16S ribosomal RNA". It matches the Rfam family "Bacterial small subunit ribosomal RNA", at positions 28 to 507 of the family's 1533-position model. The record is from RNAcentral.
GAUGAACGCUGGCGGCGUGCCUAAUACAUGCAAGUCGAGCGAACGGACGAGAAGCUUGCUUCUCUGAUGUUAGCGGCGGACGGGUGAGUAACACGUGGAUAACCUACCUAUAAGACUGGGAUAACUUCGGGAAACCGUAGCUAAUACCGGAUAAUAUUUUGAACCGCAUGGUUCAAAAGUGAAAGACGGUCUUGCUGUCACUUAUAGAUGGAUCCGCGCUGCAUUAGCUAGUUGGUAAGGUAACGGCUUACCAAGGCAACGAUGCAUAGCCGACCUGAGAGGGUGAUCGGCCACACUAGAACUGAGACACGGUCCAGACUACUACGGGAGGCAGCAGUAGGGAAUCUUCCGCAAUGGGCGAAAGCCUGACGGAGCAACGCCGCGUGAGUGAUGAAGGUCUUCGGAUCGUAAAACUCUGUUAUUAGGGAAGAACAUAUGUGUAAGUAACUGUGCACAUAUUGACGGUACCUAAUCAGAAAGCCACGGCUAACUACGUG